GAUGAACGCUAGCGAUAGGCUUAACACAUGCAAGUCGAGGGGCAGCAUGAUCUUAGCUUGCUAAGGUCGAUGGCGACCGGCGCACGGGUGCGUAACGCGUAUGCAACUUGCCUUACAGAGGGGGAUAACCCGUUGAAAGACGGACUAAAACCGCAUACACUUGUAUUAUUGCAUGAUAUUACAAGGAAAUAUUUAUAGCUGUAAGAUAGGCAUGCGUCCCAUUAGCUGGUUGGUGAGGUAACGGCUCACCAAGGCGACGAUGGGUAGGGGAACUGAGAGGUUUAUCCCCCACACUGGUACUGAGACACGGACCAGACUCCUACGGGAGGCAGCAGUGAGGAAUAUUGGUCAAUGGGCGAGAGCCUGAACCAGCCAAGUCGCGUGAAGGAAGACAGUCCUAAGGAUUGUAAACUUCUUUUAUACGGGAAUAACGGGCGAUACGAGUAAUG
RNAcentral lists this ribosomal RNA (449 nucleotides) under Porphyromonas gingivalis. RNAcentral describes it as "bacterial SSU rRNA". It matches the Rfam family "Bacterial small subunit ribosomal RNA", at positions 28 to 466 of the family's 1533-position model. Lineage: Bacteria; Pseudomonadati; Bacteroidota; Bacteroidia; Bacteroidales; Porphyromonadaceae. The record is from RNAcentral.